RNAcentral lists this ribosomal RNA (252 nucleotides) under uncultured bacterium. RNAcentral describes it as "partial 16S ribosomal RNA". It matches the Rfam family "Bacterial small subunit ribosomal RNA", at positions 524 to 776 of the family's 1533-position model. The record is from RNAcentral.
UACGGGGGGGCAAGCGUUGUUCGGAAUUACUGGGCGUAAAGGGCUCGUAGGCGGCCAACUAAGUCAGACGUGAAAUCCCCAGGCUCAACCUGGGAACUGCGUCUGAUACUGAUUGGCUUGAAUCCGGGAGAGGGAUGCAGAAUUCCAGGUGUAGCGGUGAAAUGCGUAGAUAUCUGGAGGAAUACCGGUGGCGAAGGCGGCAUCCUGGACCGGCAUUGACGCUGAGGAGCGAAAGCCAGGGGAGCAAACGGG